RNAcentral lists this ribosomal RNA (484 nucleotides) under uncultured bacterium. RNAcentral describes it as "partial 16S ribosomal RNA". It matches the Rfam family "Bacterial small subunit ribosomal RNA", at positions 30 to 507 of the family's 1533-position model. The record is from RNAcentral.
AUUGAACGCUGGCGGCAGGCCUAACACAUGCAAGUCGAGCGGAUGAAGGGAGCUUGCUCCUGGAUUCAGCGGCGGACGGGUGAGUAAUGCCUAGGAAUCUGCCUGGUAGUGGGGGAUAACGUCCGGAAACGGGCGCUAAUACCGCAUACGUCCUGAGGGAGAAGGUGGGGGAUCUUCGGACCUCACGCUAUCAGAUGAGCCUAGGUCGGAUUAGCUAGUUGGUGGGGUAAAGUCCUACCAAGGCGACGAUCCGUAACUGGUCUGAGAGGAUGAUCAGUCACACUGGAACUGAGACACGGUCCAGACUCCUCCGGGAGGCAGCAGUAGGGAAUCUUCCGCAAUGGGCGAAAGCCUGACGGAGCAACGCCGCGUGAGUGAUGAAGGUCUUCGGAUCGUAAAACUCUGUAAUUAGGGAAGAACAAAAGUGUAAGUAACUAUGCACGUCUUGACGGUACCUAAUCAGAAAGCCACGGCUAACUACGUG